GAAUUCCUGAGGUCGGAGUUGAC
This 23-nucleotide non-coding RNA is filed under the name Drosophila melanogaster (fruit fly). The record is from RNAcentral. Lineage: Eukaryota; Metazoa; Arthropoda; Insecta; Diptera; Drosophilidae.